Molecule: long non-coding RNA, 174 nt
Organism: Daphnia pulicaria
Lineage: Eukaryota; Metazoa; Arthropoda; Branchiopoda; Diplostraca; Daphniidae
Exons: 3
Source: RefSeq, a predicted model, not a curated record
GAGACAUCUAGUGGCUGCGAUUACCAACCGACAAUAUUUUCUAGAGUCGUCCGCUCAACCUGUUUGGCACUACCCAAACACUGGAAAGAACUACGAAAGACUUGACGGACACGAAGACCAAACUUGAGGCUAUGAAUAUGGACUUGAAAAACGCAACUCUUGGAAUGGCAGUGU